GUGUGUCGUCGUGCAGUCUGAGAGUAGUUGUAUCGUGCUAGGACGAACGCUGGCGGCGUGCUUAACACAUGCAAGUCGAACGGGAGUAUUGAAGAAGCUUGCUUUAGAGAUACUUUAGUGGCGGACGGGUGAGUAACGCGUGAGGAGCUGUCCUAUGCAGGGGGACAACAGCUGGAAACGGCUGCUAAUACCCCAUAAGCCGAGAGGUAAAAGGAUCAAUCCGGCAGAGGAGGUACUCGCGUCCUAUCAGCUAGUAGGUGAGGUAACGGCUCACCUAGGCGAAGACGGGUAGCCGGCCUGAGAGGGCGAACGGCCACACUGGAACUGAGAUACGGUCCAGACUCCUACGGGAGGCAGCAGUGGGGAAUAUUGGGCAAUGGGGGAAACCCUGACCCAGCGACGCCGCGUGGGUGAAGAAAUCCUUCGGGAUGUAAAGCCCUGUUGUAUGGGAAGAGCGGAAGACGGUACCAUACGAGGAAGCCCCGGCAAACUACGUGCCAGCCGCAGC
Molecule: ribosomal RNA, 508 nt
Filed under: uncultured bacterium
Lineage: Bacteria
Description: bacterial SSU rRNA
Rfam family: Bacterial small subunit ribosomal RNA
Source: RNAcentral